UGCCCGGGACCCAGUUCAAGUAAUUCAGGAUAGGUUGUGUGCUGUCCAGCCUGUUCUCCAUUACUUGGCUCGGGGGCCGGUGCCC
Molecule: microRNA precursor, 85 nt
Organism: Ailuropoda melanoleuca (giant panda)
Lineage: Eukaryota; Metazoa; Chordata; Mammalia; Carnivora; Ursidae
Product: microRNA 26b
Source: Ensembl